RNAcentral lists this transfer RNA (74 nucleotides) under Acidimicrobiaceae bacterium. Its description in RNAcentral is "tRNA-Pro". It matches the Rfam family "tRNA". From Rfam's summary of the family: Transfer RNA (tRNA) molecules are approximately 80 nucleotides in length. Their secondary structure includes four short double-helical elements and three loops (D, anti-codon, and T loops). Further hydrogen bonds mediate the characteristic L-shaped molecular structure. tRNAs have two regions of fundamental functional importance: the anti-codon, which is responsible for specific mRNA codon recognition, and the 3' end, to which the tRNAs corresponding amino acid is attached (by aminoacyl-tRNA synthetases). tRNAs cope with the degeneracy of the genetic code in two manners: having more than one tRNA (with a specific anti-codon) for a particular amino acid; and 'wobble' base-pairing, i.e. permitting non-standard base-pairing at the 3rd anti-codon position. The record is from RNAcentral. Lineage: Bacteria; Bacillati; Actinomycetota; Acidimicrobiia; Acidimicrobiales; Acidimicrobiaceae.
CGGGAAGUAGCGCAGCUUGGUAGCGCGCAGCGUUCGGGACGCUGAGGCCGCGGGUUCAAGUCCCGCCUUCCCGA